RNAcentral lists this ribosomal RNA (1611 nucleotides) under Fragilariopsis kerguelensis. RNAcentral's name for it is "partial Bacterial large subunit ribosomal RNA". It matches the Rfam family "Bacterial large subunit ribosomal RNA", at positions 1 to 1622 of the family's 2925-position model. Lineage: Eukaryota; Bacillariophyta; Bacillariophyceae; Bacillariales; Bacillariaceae. The record is from RNAcentral.
AAGUAAGUAAGAGCGUAUGGCGGAUGCCUAGGCUCUCAGAGGCGAAGAAGGACGUGAUAAGCUGCGAUAAGCUACGGGGAUUAGCACAUAUGAAUUGAUCCGUAGAUUUCCGAAUGGGGCAACCCGGCUACUUGAAGAGUAGUCAUCUCAAUUUAUUGAGGGGCAAACCCGGAGAACUGAAACAUCUAAGUACCCGGAGGAAGAGAAAACAAUUAGUGAUUCCGUUAGUAGUGGCGAGCGGACGCGGAACAGCCCAAACCAGAUUAGUUACGGCUAGUCUGGGGUUGUAGGACUGCGAUAUCUUAACAAAAACGAACGAGAACGACUUGGGAAGGUCGGCCAAAGAAGGUGAAAGCCCUGUAUUGGUAAGUUUUUGAGCGGUAGCAGUAUCCUGAGUAGGGCGGGGCAGGUGAAACCCCGUUUGAAUCUACCAGCACCAUCUGGUAAGGCUAAAUACUCCUGAGAGACCGAUAGUGAACAAGUACCGUGAGGGAAAGGUGAAAAGUACCCUGAAUAAGGGGGUGAAAUAGAACCUGAAACCAUACGCUUACAAGCGGUUGGAGCCAAAUAAUUUUGGUGACAGCGUGCCUUUUGCAUAAUGAGCCUACGAGUUACUCCUCUCUAGCAAGGUUAAGGACUUCAGGUCCGUAGCCGGAGCGAAAGCGAGUCUGAAUAGGGCGCAUUAGUUAGAGGGGGUAGACGCGAAACCCGGUGAUCUACCCAUGACCAGGUUGAAGUUGCAGUAACAUGCAAUGGAGGACCGAACCAGUUGACGUUGAAAAGUCUUUGGAUGAGUUGUGGGUAGGGGUGAAAGGCCAAUCAAACCGGGAAAUAGCUCGUACUCCCCGAAAUGCUUUUAGGAGCAGCGUGGAGGUAGAGUCUGUUAGAGGUAGAGCUACCGAUAGGACUAGGGGGAGUCAAAUCCUACCAAAUCCUGACGAACUCCGAAUGCUAACAGAUAUACUCCGCAGUGAGGGCAAGGGUGCUAAGGUCCUUGUCCGAGAGGGAAAGAACCCGGACCAUCAGCUAAGGUCCCCAAAUAUAUACUAAGUUGAACUAAGGAGGUUCAGUUGCUUAGACAGCCAGGAUGUUGGCUUGGAAGCAGCCAUUCAUUUAAAGAGUGCGUAACAGCUCACUGGUCGAGCGACAGGGCAUCGAUGAUGAUCGGGCAUUAAGUAUAGUACCGAAGCUAAGGCAGUAGUUUACUACUGGGUAGGGGAGCAUUCUAUUCCGCGAUGAAGGUAUCUGGUGAUGGAUAUUGGAGCGUAUAGAAAAGCAAAUGUAGGCAUAAGUAACGAUAAGGCGGGUGAGAAACCCGCCCACCGAUAGACUAAGGUUUCCUCAGCAAUGCUAAUCAGCUGAGGGUUAGUCAGGGCCUAAGGCGAACCCGAAAGGGGUAGUCGAUGGACAACAGGUUAAUAUUCCUGUACUACCAUAUAGAGUGAUGGGGUGACGGAGUAGUGAAAGUACCGCGUACUGACGGAAUAGUACGUUAAAGAGUGUAGGUAUAGGCACAGUAGGUAAAUCCGCUGAGCUUGCUGAACUUGAUAGUACCACAACGCUUCGGCAGCGUGGAUAGUGGACCUAAUCAGACUUCCAAGAAAAACCUCU